AUGAACGCUAGCGACAGGCUUAACACAUAGCAAGUCGAGGGGUAACGAGGUAGCAAUACCGCUGACGACCGGCGCACGGGUGAGUAACGCGUAUGCAACCUGCCUAUAACUGGGGAAUAGCUCCCUGAAAGGGGAAUUAACACCGCAUAACACUAUUGAUUCGCAUGGAUUGGUAGUUAAAUGUAGCGAUACAGGUUAUAGAUGGGCAUGCGUGACAUUAGCUAGUUGGUGAGGUAACGGCUCACCAAGGCUACGAUGUCUAGGGGUUCUGAGAGGAAGGUCCCCCACACUGGUACUGAGACACGGACCAGACUCCUACGGGAGGCAGCAGUGAGGAAUAUUGGUCAAUGGGCGCAAGCCUGAACCAGCCAUGUCGCGUGCAGGAAGACUGCCCCUAUGGGUUGUAAACUGCUUUUAUAGUAGAAGAAACACAUCUACGUGUAGAUGUCUGCCAGUAUACUAUGAAUAAGCAUCGGCUAACUCCGUGCCAGCAGCAGC
Molecule: ribosomal RNA, 498 nt
Filed under: uncultured bacterium
Lineage: Bacteria
Description: bacterial SSU rRNA
Rfam family: Bacterial small subunit ribosomal RNA
Source: RNAcentral